GUUGAUCCUGGCUCAGAACGAACGUGGUGGCGUGCUUAACACAUGCAAGUCGAGGGCGAACGGUGACUUCGUGUUGCCUAGUAGACCGGCGCACGGGUGAGUAACACGUGAGUACCUGCCCCAGAGUCUGGGAUAACCGCCCGAAAGGGUGGCUAAUACUGGAUAAGCUCACUCUAGUGAGAAAAGCGUAUGCGCUUUGGGAUGGGCUCGCGGCCCAUUAGGUAGUUGGUGGGGUAACGGCCUACCAAGCCUGAGAUGGGUAGCUGGUCUGAGAGGAUGAUCAGCCACACUGGGACUGAGACACGGCCCAGACUCCUACGGGAGGCAGCAGUGGGGAAUCUUGCGCAAUGGGAGCAAUCCUGACGCAGCAACGCCGCGUGUGUGAUGAAGGCCUUCGGGUCGUAAAGCACUGUCAGGGGGGAAGAAUUUUGACGGUACCUCCUGAGGAAGCACCGGCUAACUCCGUGCCAGCAGCCGCGGUAAUACGGAGGGUGCAAACGUUGUUCGGAAUCAUUGGGCGUAAAGGGCACGCAGGCGGUGUCGCAGGUCGGAAUGUGAAAGCCCGGGGCUCAACCCCGGAAUUGCGUUCGAAACCGUGGCGCUGGAGUUCUGGAGAGGGAAGCGGAAUUCCUGGUGUAGGGGUGAAAUCCGUAGAGAUCAGGAGGAAGACCGGAGGCGAAGGCGGCUUCCUGGCCAUGAACUGACGCUGAGGUGCGAAAGUGUGGGGAGCAAACAGGAUUAGAUACCCUG
RNAcentral lists this ribosomal RNA (750 nucleotides) under uncultured organism. RNAcentral's name for it is "bacterial SSU rRNA". It matches the Rfam family "Bacterial small subunit ribosomal RNA", at positions 11 to 789 of the family's 1533-position model. The record is from RNAcentral.